GGGCUCGUAGCUCAGUUGGAUAGAGUGCCGCCCUCCGAAGGCGGAAGUCGCUGGUUCGAAUCCAGUCGAGCCCA
This 74-nucleotide transfer RNA is filed under the name Pseudomonadota bacterium. RNAcentral's name for it is "tRNA-Arg". It matches the Rfam family "tRNA". Rfam says of the family: Transfer RNA (tRNA) molecules are approximately 80 nucleotides in length. Lineage: Bacteria; Pseudomonadati; Pseudomonadota. RNAcentral also lists the same sequence under 3 other names. The record is from RNAcentral.